UAACAGUCUUGCUUGGAAAUUUUUAUUUUGGCCUGGAUUGACCUUGAAAAGCAAAUCCAUAUUGCUGCAUAAUUACAUAGUACUUCCCCUGUAAAAAUAUAUAUAAGAGCGUUUACUCACUUCUCUAGUGAUCUAAACACUCUCUUAUAUUUCUUAUAAUUACAUAGUACUUCCCCUGUAAAAAGUCACUCACUAUUCCAGUUUAUGUGGUGCAAAAUUCACAAUCGUAGUGCUUGUAAUAUUGUGAAACAUAUAAAUUUUUUUUGUAUGGAUGCCUGCAUUAUGUUGCUUGUUAUGUCAAUUGCUAAA
Molecule: long non-coding RNA, 309 nt
Filed under: Hordeum vulgare
Lineage: Eukaryota; Viridiplantae; Streptophyta; Magnoliopsida; Poales; Poaceae
Description: long non-coding RNA (HVUL_LNC006983)
Source: RNAcentral